UCGAGAAUUUUUCACAAUGGGGGAAACCCUGAUGGAGCGACGCCGCGUGGGGGAUGAAUGGCUUCGGCCCGUAAACCCCUGUCAUUUGCGAGCAAAGCGCAUUAUUUAAAAGAUGAUGUGUUGAUAGUAGCGGAAGAGGAAGGGACGGCUAACUCUGUGCCAGCAGCCGCGGUAAUACAGAGGUCCCGAGCGUUGUUCGGAUUCACUGGGCGUAAAGGGUGCGUAGGUGGUGAGGUGUGUCGGAUGUGAAAUCUCGGAGCUCAACGGCGGAAGUGCAGUGGAAACUACCGUGGUGGAGGGUUGGAGGGGGGACUGGAAUACUGGGUGUAGGAGUGAAAGGCGUAGAUAGCAAGUGGAACAGCAGGGGCGAAGGCG
RNAcentral lists this ribosomal RNA (375 nucleotides) under uncultured bacterium. Its description in RNAcentral is "bacterial SSU rRNA". It matches the Rfam family "Bacterial small subunit ribosomal RNA", at positions 355 to 723 of the family's 1533-position model. The record is from RNAcentral.